This 386-nucleotide long non-coding RNA is filed under the name Olea europaea (common olive). RNAcentral describes it as "long non-coding RNA (OEUR_LNC007089)". Lineage: Eukaryota; Viridiplantae; Streptophyta; Magnoliopsida; Lamiales; Oleaceae. The record is from RNAcentral.
CUGGAGGAGAGAAAUAAAAAAGGGCAGCCAUUAUCAUUAUAUAUUCUUACACACACAUUCUGCAAAAAUGGGGGAUUUGACACAGACGGAGAGAGAAGAGAAAUGGAGGGCUGAUUUGCUGCUCAAAUUAAUAGAUAUACAAGCACAGAAAUUUAGGCAGCUUUGGUGGAAUUAAUUGGGUGCUGUCUGCCAAUAUCAUUGAAUUAUAUACAAACACAGCGGAGACUCGAGACAAGACGGAAACACGAAAAAAAAAGGGCAGAAGUUUUAUUAAUCACGUUCCGUCAAUAAAUCGGGUGAUGUCUUCUAUGAUAAUAUCUUGUUUUUCUCCUAUUAAUAUACGUAGCUAAAUUUAUUUUUAGGGCGAACAAUGUAAUUGAUUUGGG